Long non-coding RNA from Bubalus bubalis (water buffalo), 1465 nucleotides. RefSeq lists it as uncharacterized. Lineage: Eukaryota; Metazoa; Chordata; Mammalia; Artiodactyla; Bovidae. The transcript has 2 exons. The record is from RefSeq and is a predicted model, not a curated record.
CCGCGCGCCCAGGGCUUUGGCUUUACUGGGCCUGGGGUCGGCCGGAGAAUCUGCAUUUCUAACAAGCUCCCAGGAUGCCGAUGUGGUAGUGAGGGGCCAGAGCAACAAAACCAGGUUGACCAGCAGCCUAUGUCCUGGCCUGGAGUGAAAGACACUCCAGCGGGAAUACAACCAGUUCUCUGGCUUAGGAAUCCAAACUGCGAUACGGGGAAGGAGAAGUCAUUUGGUAGCAUAAGAAGAAAUUGAAAAGAUGCCCCAUGGAGGCAGGCAAGCAGAAACCAUGAAGUGGUAGGGCCAUGAGGCCCCAAAGAAGCAGAACAUAGGCGUAAGCAGUAGUCACAGUUGAGCAGAAGCUGGAGGCAAGGAUGGAAGCGGAAAAGGCGGCAGGAGGAGCAGCCGUUGCCAUGGCUGAGGCUUGACUCACAGCUACAGCCUGCGGGGCGACCAGACUCUCCAGGCUCUGGGGUGCCCUUGAGUCCUGACUAUCUUUCCACUCUCUGCAAGGCCUUGCCUUAUGACUGUUUGGGGGCUUCCGUGUGAUUCCUGUCCUCUGGCUGCCAUGUAACCCCUUCCAAAAAAGCUCUCCCCAGCUCAGCACCUUACACGUAGUAGGUAUGUGUGUGAUGUGAAAUGUGUAAGGAUCUCAUCACUUGAGACAAUCUUAGAAAAAACUGCUUCCUGCAAUCAAAACUUCCUACCACACCACUUACAUUCUGAGCUCAUGAUUUGUAUCCACUUUCUUGGGGAUGAAUAUAGGACUCUUUCCAUGUCUUCCACAGUUCAGCACAUCGAUCGCUGUAACUGCUGAGCAAAGGAUCCUAUCUGGAAGAGCCUGAGCUCAUGGAGAGACACGGGUGUGUGUGGGCUCAGUCACUCAGUCGUGUCUGAUUCUUUGCGACCCCAUGGACUGCAGCCCACUAGGCUCCUUUGCCCUGAGAUUUCCCAGGCAAGAAUACUGGAGUGAGUUGCCAUUUCUUUCUCCAGGGGAUUUCCUAACCCAGGGAUCGUACCUGGGUCUCUUGCAUCUCCUGCAUUGGCAGGCAGAUUCUUUACCACUGAGCCACCUGGGGAGCCCAGAAAAAAUCUCCAGUACAAGUUGGUAGGGUGCUGGGAGGGGGACCCUAAAUACAGCAGGUGCCCAUCCAAAGGGUGGGUGACAAUCUCUCACUUCUUUGUAUCCAGCAGCUAUUGAGAGCCAAGUGGGAGACAGAAUAUGCUGUCUGGAAGAUAGGCAGCCUUAAGAAAUGAGAAGGACUUUAAUUGGCUCUUAACUGGGCUAAAUGUGCCAGGAAAGUGAAGAGACUGGUUCUCCAGGUGGAACAAGAUUAGUUCUCAUCUGGCAUGUUUAAUGGGUCAGCAGACACUCAAUCGAACAAGCUCUUCCACUCCUCUCCCUCUCUGCCGCAAGCCUUUGAAAACUCAUUUUAUCAAAAUUAAAGCUAGAUUCUGCUGUCUGCUGCUGCUG